RNAcentral lists this ribosomal RNA (253 nucleotides) under uncultured bacterium. RNAcentral describes it as "partial 16S ribosomal RNA". It matches the Rfam family "Bacterial small subunit ribosomal RNA", at positions 524 to 776 of the family's 1533-position model. The record is from RNAcentral.
UACGUAGGGUGCAAGCGUUGUCCGGAAUUACUGGGCGUAAAGGGCUCGUAGGUGGCCAACUAAGUCAGACGUGAAAUCCCUCAGCUUAACUGGGGAACUGCGUCUGAUACUGGAUGGCUUGAGUUUGGGAGAGGGAUGCGGAAUUCCAGGUGUAGCGGUGAAAUGCGUAGAUAUCUGGAGGAACACCGGUGGCGAAGGCGGCAUCCUGGACCGGCAUUGACGCUGAUGAGCGAAAGCCAGGGGAGCAAACGGG